CCUCUAAUCUAGAUGAAUGAAUUUGCUUCCCCCUGCUGUCAGUGAGGCCAACAACAUUUUGGUCUUGGCUGUGCAUUUCCCUGGAUGAACGAGAGUUGCGAGUGCCACUCUCCGGCUUCCUGUUAUUUUUCCUUAAUAAAAAUUAAUUUACACACACAAUAGUUGCAGGGAAGACUUCUCAAAGGAUGGAAUACAWCUGGUACAGACCAGAUUAUCUGCACCUUGCGCUGUGUCUAGGGGCUGUGCUGGCAAUUGUGCAGAACGGGGGAGCACAGAGCUGCCCCCAGGGAAAGGAACAGCCCCAACCAUUUAAUAUCAGGUUCAGCUACAGAAGCAGCAGGAUUAAGCCUGUCUUUGCAGUGCUCAAAGGAUACGAUACUGGAAUAUCAACAAGAACAGCACAUUGCCUGGGAUCAGCUCUGAUUGCUCCAGCAGCCAAGACCAAAGGCAAACGUGGCCCCAGGUCUCUUCAGUGCCUACCAUUUUGCCAGUAGCAAAAUCUCUCUGGAUCGGGACUUCUUGAAACAAGUUUCCAACAUCUGCACCGAGUCCUGGCAAGCCCGUCUACCCUACCUUAUAAGACUGCAGAUAGGGACUAAUU
This is a long non-coding RNA of Nothoprocta perdicaria, 601 nucleotides long. RefSeq lists it as uncharacterized. NCBI's taxonomy places the organism in Eukaryota, Metazoa, Chordata, Aves, Tinamiformes, Tinamidae. The record is from RefSeq and is a predicted model, not a curated record. The transcript is spliced from 2 exons.